RNAcentral lists this ribosomal RNA (2142 nucleotides) under Triticum aestivum (bread wheat). RNAcentral describes it as "partial small subunit ribosomal RNA". Lineage: Eukaryota; Viridiplantae; Streptophyta; Magnoliopsida; Poales; Poaceae. The record is from RNAcentral.
AUGGAGUGCGAGAACGCACACGUUGCCGCCAACGGCGAUGGCUUGUGCGUGGCGCAGCCGGCGCGGGCCGACCCACUCAACUGGGGGAAGGCGGCGGAGGAGCUCUCGAGUAGCCAUUUGGAGGCGGUGAAGCGGAUGGUGGAGGAGUACCGCAAGCCGGUCGUGACGAUGGAGGGCGCCAGCCUGACCAUCGCGAUGGUCGCCGCGGUGGCUGCCGGCAGCGACACCAGGGUGGAGCUCGACGAGUCCGCCCGCGGCCGCGUCAAGGAGAGCAGCGACUGGGUCAUGAACAGCAUGAUGAACGGCACCGACAGCUACGGUGUCACCACCGGCUUCGGCGCCACCUCUCACCGGAGGACCAAGGAGGGCGGCGCUCUCCAGAGAGAGCUCAUCCGAUUCCUUAACGCGGGAGCCUUCGGCACCGGCACCGACGGCCACGUCCUGCCUGCCGCGGCGACGAGGGCGGCGAUGCUCGUCCGAGUCAAUACCUUACUCCAGGGAUAUUCUGGCAUCCGCUUCGAGAUCCUGGAGACGGUCGCCACACUUCUCAACGCCAACGUGACACCAUGCCUGCCGCUCCGGGGCACGAUCACCGCAUCCGGUGACCUCGUCCCGCUUUCGUACAUCGCGGGCCUGGUCACCGGCCGCCCAAACUCCAUGGCGACCGCUCCAGAUGGCACAAAGGUUAAUGCUGCUGAGGCAUUUAAGAUCGCCGGCAUCCAGCAUGGCUUCUUCGAGCUGCAGCCAAAGGAAGGCCUAGCCAUGGUGAAUGGCACGGCAGUGGGCUCAGGGCUUGCAUCCAUGGUGCUUUUCGAGGCUAACAUCCUUAGCCUCCUUGCUGAGGUCUUGUCAGCCGUCUUCUGCGAGGUGAUGAACGGCAAGCCGGAGUACACCGACCACUUGACCCACAAGUUGAAGCACCACCCCGGGCAGAUCGAGGCUGCCGCCAUCAUGGAACAUAUCCUUGAAGGCAGCUCCUACAUGAUGCUCGCGAAGAAGCUCGGUGAGCUUGACCCAUUGAUGAAGCCAAAGCAAGAUAGGUAUGCCCUCCGCACAUCACCGCAGUGGCUUGGCCCUCAGAUUGAGGUUAUCCGUGCUGCCACCAAGUCGAUUGAGCGGGAAAUCAACUCCGUCAACGACAACCCACUCAUCGACGUCUCCCGUGGCAAAGCUAUCCAUGGUGGCAACUUCCAGGGCACACCCAUCGGUGUGUCCAUGGACAACACCAGGCUUGCCAUUGCUGCGAUUGGCAAGCUCAUGUUUGCUCAAUUCUCAGAGCUGGUGAACGACUUCUACAACAACGGUCUUCCUUCCAACCUCUCUGGUGGGCGCAACCCAAGCUUGGACUAUGGCUUCAAGGGUGCCGAGAUUGCAAUGGCCUCCUACUGCUCCGAGCUUCAGUUCUUGGGCAACCCUGUGACCAACCAUGUCCAAAGUGCGGAGCAGCACAACCAAGAUGUCAACUCUCUUGGUCUCAUCUCCUCGAGGAAGACCGCCGAGGCCAUUGACAUACUCAAGCUCAUGUCCUCGACGUUCUUGGUUGCGUUGUGCCAGGCUAUCGACCUCCGCCACCUUGAGGAGAAUGUCAAGAAUGCUAUCAAGAGAUGUGUGAAGACUGUAGCUAGGAAGACACUGAGCACCGAUACCAAUGGCCAUCUCCAUAACGCGCGCUUCUGCGAGAAGGACCUUCUGCUCACAAUCGACCGUGAGGCGGUGUUUGCGUACGCAGACGAUCCUUGUAGCGCCAACUACCCACUGAUGCAGAAGAUGCGUGCAGUUCUUGUGGAGCAUGCCUUGGCAAAUGGUGAGGCCGAGCGCGACGUGGAAACGUCAGUGUUUGCCAAGCUUGCCACGUUUGAGCAGGAGCUUCGUGCGGUGCUGCCAAAGGAGGUUGAAGCUGCCAGGAGCGCCGUGGAGAAUGGCACUGCCGCACAGCAAAACCGUAUUGCCGAAUGCCGGUCGUACCCACUCUACCGAUUCGUGCGCAAGGAGCUUGGAACGGAGUACUUGACCGGAGAGAAGACGCGGUCUCCUGGCGAAGAGGUGGACAAGGUGUUCAUUGCCAUGAACCAGGGCAAGCACAUCGAUGCGCUGCUUGAGUGCCUCAAGGAGUGGAACGGUGAGCCCUUGCCUCUCUGCUAA